Molecule: ribosomal RNA, 503 nt
Filed under: uncultured bacterium
Lineage: Bacteria
Description: partial 16S ribosomal RNA
Rfam family: Bacterial small subunit ribosomal RNA
Source: RNAcentral
AUUGAACGCUGGCGGCAGGCUUAACACAUGCAAGUCGAGCGGGGUGAUGGUGCUUGCACUAUCACUUAGCGGCGGACGGGUGAGUAAUGCUUAGGAAUCUGCCUAUUAGUGGGGGACAACAUCUCGAAAGGGAUGCUAAUACCGCAUACGUCCUACGGGAGAAAGCAGGGGAUCACUUGUGACCUUGCGCUAAUAGAUGAGCCUAAGUCGGAUUAGCUAGUUGGUGGGGUAAAGGCCUACCAAGGCGACGAUCUGUAGCGGGUCUGAGAGGAUGAUCCGCCACACUGGGACUGGGACACGGCCCAGACUCCUAGGGGAGGCAGCAGUGGGGAAUAUUGGACAAUGGGGGGAACCCUGAUCUAGCCAUGCCGCGUGUGUGAAGAAGGCCUUAUGGUUGUAAAGCACUUUAAGCGAGGAGGAGGCUCUUUUGGUUAAUACCCAAGAUGAGUGGACGUUACUCGCAGAAUAAGCACCGGCUAACUCUGUGCCAGCCGCCGCCGUAA